This 1525-nucleotide long non-coding RNA is filed under the name Junco hyemalis (dark-eyed junco). RNAcentral describes it as "lncRNA (ENSJHYG00000001324.1)". The record is from RNAcentral. Lineage: Eukaryota; Metazoa; Chordata; Aves; Passeriformes; Passerellidae.
GCCCCCAAACCCCAAAAAUCUUUGGCGUGAUCCCAAAAUUCCCACCUCUAAGUUCCCUUCCCCACCCCAAAACUCCCUCCCUAAAAUCCCUUCCCCAUUGUCAAAAUUUGGGGGGAAAUCCCAAAAUUCCCAACCAGAAAAUUCCCUCUCCAACCCCAGAGUUUCCUCCCGAAAAUUCCGGCCCCAGCCCCAAAUUCUGUGGGGAAUUCCCAAAAUUCCUGCCCAAAACUUCCGGUGCCAACCACAAAAUUCGCUCCCUAAAAUUUCCUCCCCCACCCCAAAAUUCCAUCCCAAAAAUUUCAGCUCCAACCCCAAAAUCUGUGGGGGAAAUCGCAAAUUCCCUCCCUAAAAAUUCCCCCUCCCCAUUCCAAAAUUAUGGGGAGGAAACUCCAAAAAUCCCCUCUCCAACCCCAAAACUCCCUCCCCAAAAUUCCCUCUUCCAUCCCCACCUAAAACCUGAGGGCCAGUCCCAAAAUUCCGUCCCCAUUCCCAAAAUCUGUGAGGGAAAUCCCAAAAUUCCCACCCCAAAAUUCCCUCCCUAAAUCCCCUCCCCCACACCAAAAGUCCCUCCCAAAAAUUUUGGCUCCAUUCCCAAAAUCUCAUUGGGAAAUCCCAAAAUUUUCCCUCCUCAUUCCUAAAAUCUCCAGGGAACCCCAAAAUUCCCCCUCUUGUCCCAAAAUUUGGGACUUUCCACAAAAAUUUCAUCCCCAGACCCCAAAAUUUCAUCCCCAGACCCCCAAAAUCUUUCGAGAGCCCCAAAAUUAAUCAGGGUAGCCCCAAAAAUUUGGGAUUUUUUCCAAAAAUUCCCUCUCCAGGUCCCGAAAAUUUGGGAUUUCCCCCCCAAAUUCCCUUCCCCACACCCCAAACUCCCCUCUGGGUUCCCAAAUUUAGGAUUUCCCCCCUAAAUUCCCUCCUCCACACCCCGAAAUCCCCUCGGGGACCCCAAAUUUGGGAUUUUUCCCGGAAUUGCGGAAUUCGGGCCAGGGGUGAGGGUGGGAUUUUUCCCCAAAUUCCUCCCCCACCCCCGAACCCCCGGGGGCAUCUCCAGGUUUUGGAGUCACGGGGAGGAAUUUUGGGGUGAAUUUUGGGCAUUUUGGGGUUCCCCGGGGAGACGUUGGGGCCGAUUUUGGGUUCGCGGACCGAAAUUUUGGGAUUUUCUGAGGUAAUUUUGGUGGAGUUUCCUCACCCCGAGUGGGUUCCGGGGGUUUUCGAGGUUCGCGGAUGCGAUUCCGGCGGUUUUUACGGCGAUUUUUCUGGUUUUAGGGCGGAUUUUUGGGGUAAAUUCGGGGCUUUUCGGGGCUCCCGCGCCCUUACCGAACGCCGGCACCUCCCGCUUCCCGCCACGCCCUGGCCACGCCCACAACCCCGCCGCUUCCGGGUGCAAACCCCGCCCACGCCUCACCCUAUUGGCCAAUGCUUAUUUAAACCACGCCCAUCCCUUAUAUGGAAGCUCCUAGUUGACUCCGCCCACUGCGGGCCCGCCUGCCUUGGCCCCGCCCACUGCGGCCCCACCGGGCCCCGCCCC